GACGAACGCUGGCGGCGUGCUUAACACAUGCAAGUCGAACGGAAAGGCCCAGCUUGCUGGGUGCUCGAGUGGCGAACGGGUGAGUAACACGUGGGUGAUCUGCCCCUAACUUCGGGAUAAGCUUGGGAAACUGGGUCUAAUACCGGAUAGGACAAUCGUUUAGUGUCGGUUGUGGAAAGUUUUUUCGGUUAGGGAUGAGCCCGCGGCCUAUCAGCUUGUUGGUGGGGUAAUGGCCUACCAAGGCGUCGACGGGUAGCCGGCCUGAGAGGGUGGACGGCCACAUUGGGACUGAGAUACGGCCCAGACUCCUACGGGAGGCAGCAGUGGGGAAUAAUGCACAAUGGGCGCAAGCCUGAUGCAGCGACGCCGCGUGGGGGAUGACGGCCUUCGGGUUGUAAACCUCUUUCGACAGGGACGAAGCUUUGGUGACGGUACCUGUAGAAGAAGCACCGGCUAACUACGUG
This 464-nucleotide ribosomal RNA is filed under the name uncultured bacterium. RNAcentral's name for it is "partial 16S ribosomal RNA". It matches the Rfam family "Bacterial small subunit ribosomal RNA", at positions 28 to 507 of the family's 1533-position model. The record is from RNAcentral.